UUGAACGCUGGCGGCAUGCCUUACACAUGCAAGUCGAACGGCAGCACGGGGGGUAACCCCUGGUGGCGAGUGGCGAACGGGUGAGUAAUAUAUCGGAACGUGUCCUGUAGCGGGGGAUAACCUAUCGAAAGAUGGACUAAUACCGCAUACGACCUACGGGUGAAAGCGGAGGACCGCAAGGCUUGGCACUAUAGGAGCGGGCGAUAUCGGAUUAGCUAGUUGGCGGGGUAACGGCCCACCAAGGCGACGAUCCGUAGCUGGUCUGAGAGGACGAUCAGCCACACUGGAACUGAGACACGGUCCAGACUCCUACGGGAGGCAGCAGUGGGGAAUUUUGGACAAUGGGCGCAAGCCUGAUCCAGCCAUGCCGCGUGAGUGAAGAAGGCCUUCGGGUUGUAAAGCUCUUUCGGCGGGGACGAAACGGUUCGUGCUAAUACCACGGACUACUGACGGUACCCGCAGAAGAAGCACCGGCUAACUACGUG
This 485-nucleotide ribosomal RNA is filed under the name uncultured bacterium. Its description in RNAcentral is "partial 16S ribosomal RNA". It matches the Rfam family "Bacterial small subunit ribosomal RNA", at positions 29 to 507 of the family's 1533-position model. The record is from RNAcentral.